RNAcentral lists this ribosomal RNA (235 nucleotides) under uncultured bacterium. RNAcentral's name for it is "partial 16S ribosomal RNA". It matches the Rfam family "Bacterial small subunit ribosomal RNA", at positions 118 to 353 of the family's 1533-position model. The record is from RNAcentral.
UGAGCAAUCUGCCCUUCUCUUCGGAAUAAGCGUUGGAAACGACGUCUAAUGCCGAAUACGACCUCCUUUCGCAUGAUCGGAGGUGGAAAGCUCCGGCGGAGAAGGAUGAGCUCGCGGCCUAUCAGCUAGUUGGUGUGGGUAAUGGCCCACCAAGGCGACGACGGGUAGCCGGCCUGAGAGGGUGACCGGCCACACUGGGACUGAGACACGGCCCAGACUCCUACGGGAGGCAGCG